This 395-nucleotide ribosomal RNA is filed under the name uncultured bacterium. RNAcentral describes it as "partial 16S ribosomal RNA". It matches the Rfam family "Bacterial small subunit ribosomal RNA", at positions 523 to 918 of the family's 1533-position model. The record is from RNAcentral.
AUACGUAGGGUGCAAGCGUUAAUCGGAAUUACUGGGCGUAAAGCGUGCGCAGGCGGAUUUGUUAGUCAGAGGUGAAAUCCCCGGGCUCAACCUGGGAACUGCCUUUGUUACUGCAAAGCUAGAGUACGGCAGAGGGGGGUGGAAUUCCUCGUGUAGCGGUGAAAUGCGUAGAUAUUCGGAAGAACACCGAUGGCGAAGGCAAUCCCCUGGGCCUGUACUGACGCUCAUGCACGAAAGCGUGGGGAGCAAACAGGAUUAGAUACCCUGGUAGUCCACGCCCUAAACGAUGUCAACUGGUUGUUGGGUCUUCAUUGACUCAGUAACGAAGCUAACGCGUUAAGUUGACCGCCUGGGGAGUACGGCCGCAAGGUUGAAACUCAAAUGAAUUGACGGGG